CAGCACCUCAAGUGGUCAGGAUGAUUAUUGGGCCUAAAGCAUCCGUAGCCUGCUUUGUAAGUUUUCGGUUAAAUCCAUACGCUCAACGUAUGGGCUGCCGGGAAUACUGCAAAGCUAGGGAGUGGGAGAGGUAGACGGUACUCGGUAGGAAGGGGUAAAAUCCUUUGAUCUAUUGAUGACCACCUGUGGCGAAGGCGGUCUACCAGAACACGUCCGACGGUGAGGGAUGAAAGCUGGGGGAGCAAACCGGAUUAGAUACCCGAGUAGUCC
This 270-nucleotide ribosomal RNA is filed under the name uncultured archaeon. Its description in RNAcentral is "partial 16S ribosomal RNA". It matches the Rfam family "Archaeal small subunit ribosomal RNA", at positions 477 to 747 of the family's 1478-position model. The record is from RNAcentral.